This 1524-nucleotide long non-coding RNA is filed under the name Brassica rapa (field mustard). RNAcentral's name for it is "long non-coding RNA (BRAP_LNC004450)". Lineage: Eukaryota; Viridiplantae; Streptophyta; Magnoliopsida; Brassicales; Brassicaceae. The record is from RNAcentral.
GAACACAUUCAUUUUAUUGUAAUUGGACUAAAACAUUUUUUCUUAAUUCUGAUUGGGUGGAACACUUUUUUGUUUUAAUUGGGUGGGGCGUUUUUCUUUUGUUUUUUUCCUUAACUUAAUUAAAACCAAAUAUUUUUAAAAAGUUUUAUUUUAUUAUUAAGGAAAAAAAAAAGAGCGUGGGGCAAGUGCCACACCCACAGUGCUUUCAAGGUUGCUGAUGCUUCUGGUCUACCGUUCGCCUUUUAUCUCCUCUGGUAAAGAUUGUUGUUGUUUGUUGUCGAUCUAUUUUGUCGGUACUAACCAAUUAUCUCAUCUUCUUUUGCAGGCUGGUCUCUUCUGGAGCUCAUCUGCUUCGAUCCACGACCGGAGCUUCUUAUAGCUCCACCGCCGGAGCUUGUAUUCUUCUAAGAUCCAACACCGGAGCUUCUCCUCUGCAUGCAUGUUCGUUUCCUUCUCCAUUUCGCCUCUUUAUUUAAUUGUUUUGUCUCUUAUAUAGCUGUAUUGCAUGUGAUGUUUGUUGUUUAGCUUAGGUUGAUGUCUUUCGAGUGUGUUAUGUCUCUGUCUCGGUUGGGUUUUUUUUUUUUUUUUUUAAAUUGUGAAUCUGUCCGUUCAACAGUUCAUGUGAAUGUUAUGUCUCGGUCUCUGUCUCUAGUUGACCUCGUUGGAAUAUUUAGACCAGAUUAAAUUCAUUUGAUUGUUUGUUGUCUCUGAUUGUCUUACCGAAGUUUAAAUUGUGAAUGUGUCCAUAAAACUCGUUAGAAUAUCCAAGAAGCGUUUUAUUUGAUAUGGUUACAGAAUAUCAACUAAGCAACUUGUGGUCAGUUCUGAUAUGUUUUCUUGUCGUGUUGUCUUUGUUUUGUCUUAUGUUUUGAGGCGAUGAAGUGAUGAAUAACAAGGAGGCGACUGGUUCAUCCUCUUCUCCUCUUAUAAGAUAAGACAUUACUUGUUUGCAUUGUAAAUUUGUAAUGCCGAUAUGUUCCAAGUGAUUUAUCUGAAUUUUUGUUUGUUUUUGUCAUGUGUAUGAAGAAGAAGGCGUCAGCACGUCAGCUUCCAGCUUUUCAUUCCCUAAUAGCUUCAGUACCUCAGGUUAUUCACUCUCUUACGCAAAACUAGUAAUCAUUGAUAGGAGAGCUCAAUGUCUUAUUGUCUUCAACUAUAAUCUCUGAUAUGUAUUUUCUUUCUGUCUGUGUCACGCUUUUGGAUGUGUUGCCUCGAGCUCUUGGAGUGGUCGUGACCAAGGAGGCGUCAGCACGUCAGCCUACCAUUGCUAUGAGCAGCUUUAGGACCUCAGGUUAGUCGCACUCUUCCGUAGAACUAAUAAGCAUUGAUAUGAGAACUCACUGGUUAGAUAGGACUCCCUGUUUAGAUAGUUGAACUCACUGGUUAGAUAGGACUCCCUGUUUAGAUAGUUGAACUCACUGGUUAGAUAGGACUCCCUGUUUAGAUAGUUGAACUCACUGGUUAGAUAGGACUCCCUGUUUAGAUAGUUGAACUCACUGGUUAGAUAGGACUCCCUGUUUAGAU